RNAcentral lists this long non-coding RNA (755 nucleotides) under Bos indicus x Bos taurus (hybrid cattle). Its description in RNAcentral is "lncRNA (ENSBIXG00005021686.1)". Lineage: Eukaryota; Metazoa; Chordata; Mammalia; Artiodactyla; Bovidae. The record is from RNAcentral.
UUCCUAACAAGCAUCCAGAUGUGGCUGCUGCUGGUGGUCUAUGAGCUACAUUUUUGUGGCAAGGCUCUAAAAUCCCCCUGCUAGGCAAGAGAGCCUGGUGCCCUGCCCUGUAUCCUCCCAGCCAGUUCAGAGGGCCUGACCCAAGGCUCUUGUGUGGCAGAAAUAGAGGAACUGACUGAGGCCAAGUCAGAGCAAAGAAACCUGCCUUCUGAGAUGGGCUGAGUGCUGAAGGAAGGGAAGAAGUAUCUCAUCUUGAGAAACUCAAAAUUUGCCUCUGUCUCCUGCAGUCAAGUGACUUCCACCUUGUGGGUCUGGCAGCACUCUGGCCUGUGAAGCUGAACUUUUCCAGGCUCAUCGAAUUUCUUGUGUGGAGAAGGUGAGAAAACAGAAGCUCUGAAGUUAAUCCGUCCCCCAAGACUGAUGCUGGAGAAGAGCAAGUGAAACAAGUGUCCUGAUGUCCAGAGGAUAAAUGGUAUCCAGAGACAAUGCACUCUGUUCCAGUCCUCUCCCCCUAUCUGGGUUUGAUAAUUGCUGAGAAAUGAUAAAUACAUAAUUGGAACACUCUUACAUACUCCAUGCACAACAGAUAAAGUUAGUUACUAACAGUAAAGUUAGUAACUUAGGACAAAAUUGGAAUAGAAACAUUCUCUGGCAACUGUUACCCCUUCUCAUUAGUUGGUGCCUAGAGGAUAUGUAUACUUCUUAAUUCCAGCUUUGCCUUACCUCUGAGCAGACAGGAAUGACCAAGAGGUAAU